Molecule: ribosomal RNA, 515 nt
Filed under: uncultured bacterium
Lineage: Bacteria
Description: partial 16S ribosomal RNA
Rfam family: Bacterial small subunit ribosomal RNA
Source: RNAcentral
GAUGAACGCUGGCGGCGUGCCUAAUACAUGCAAGUCGAGCGAAUGGAUUAAGAGCUUGCUCUUAUGAAGUUAGCGGCGGUCGGGUGAGUAACACGUGGGUAACCUGCCCAUAAGACUGGGAUAACUCCGGGAAACCGGGGCUAAUACCGGAUAAUAUUUUGAACUGCAUGGUUCAAAAUUGAAAGGCGGCUUCGGCUGUCACUUAAGGAUGGACCCGCGUCGCAUUAGCUAGUUGGUGAGGUAACGGCUCACCAAGGCAACGAUGCGUAGCCGACCUGAGAGGGUGAUCGGCCACACUGGGACUGAGACACGGCCCAGACUCCUACGGGAGGCAGCAGUAGGGAAUCUUCCGCAAUGGACGAAAGUCUGACGGAGCAACGCCGCGUGAGUGAUGAAGGCUUUCGGGUCGUAAAACUCUGUUGUUAGGGAAGAACAAGUGCUAGUUGAAUAAGCUGGCACCUUGACGGUACCUAACCAGAAAGCCACGGCUAACUACGUGCCAGCAGCCGCCGUAA